UACGAAGGGGGCUAGCGUUGCUCGGAAUCACUGGGCGUAAAGGGUGCGUAGGCGGGUCUUAAGUCAGGGGUGAAAUCCUGGAGCUCAACUCCAGAACUGCCUUUGAUACUGAGGAUCUUGAGUUCGGGAGAGGUGAGUGGAACUGCGAGUGUAGAGGUGAAAUUCGUAGAUAUUCGCAAGAACACCAGUGGCGAAGGCGGCUCACUGGCCCGAUACUGACGCUGAGGCACGAAAAGCGUGGGGGAGCAAAACAGGA
Molecule: ribosomal RNA, 256 nt
Filed under: uncultured bacterium
Lineage: Bacteria
Description: partial 16S ribosomal RNA
Rfam family: Bacterial small subunit ribosomal RNA
Source: RNAcentral